This is a long non-coding RNA of Rhincodon typus (whale shark), 774 nucleotides long. RefSeq lists it as uncharacterized. NCBI's taxonomy places the organism in Eukaryota, Metazoa, Chordata, Chondrichthyes, Orectolobiformes, Rhincodontidae. The record is from RefSeq and is a predicted model, not a curated record. The transcript has 5 exons.
AGAACAUUUAUUUUGUAAAGAGCAUUUAUGAAGGUCAUUGCAUUCUGAAGGUGGAAAGAGAUCAGUAUGGCCUUCAGAUUAAUAUGUGGACUUGGUGAAACAAUUUCUGAAAGCAGCUAUUUUUGAUUCAAGCCAUCCCCUCCAACAAAAGCCCACCUAGUGAAAGCAGGUUCAAGGCCAGAAGGGAUGAACAACCUGCAGCUACAGGACAUUGAGAUGUGAGCUACCAGUUGGAGAAAAAAGAGAACUGCCAACCAUCUGCCAGUUUAUUUAUCCAUUCACUGGAUAUGGGAACCACUGGCCAGGCCUAUUUCUAAUUGGCCUGCAGAAAGUGGCAAGAGAGUUGCCACUUUGAACUGCUGGAGUCCUCGGGGUGAAGGUACAAACUCAAAGAAUUGAACAGAAGUGGGUAUGGUCAAAUCACAACUGAGAUCCGUGAGGCUCAAGUGUUCUACUUUGCUGAAGAUUACCACCAGCAGUACUUGGAUAAGAACCCAGGUGGUUAUUGUGGAUUGGGUGGCACUGGGGUAUCUUACCCAACUGGUAUUCAGAAGUAGAACAGCACACUGAUAUAGUGGCUAACAGAGCCCCAGUUUGCCUUUAUUGACCUGUUUCACAGAUGAUAGGGUAGAAUUUUUCUUUAAUCAGGGGCAAAAUACUGGCAGGAGUGGAUUGACCGCCUGUUGUACACUUCUUUGAAACCUAUCCUAAUAUUUUAUAUCUGCAUUCAAAUUCAUGUUAAGAAAUCCCAAUAAACACAAAGUUGAAUCAAAA